Molecule: ribosomal RNA, 484 nt
Filed under: uncultured bacterium
Lineage: Bacteria
Description: bacterial SSU rRNA
Rfam family: Bacterial small subunit ribosomal RNA
Source: RNAcentral
AUUGAACGCUGGCGGCAUGCCUUACACAUGCAAGUCGAACGGGCAGCACGGGAGCAAUCCUGGUGGCGAGUGGCGAACGGGUGAGUAAUAUAUCGGAACGUGCCCAGUCGUGGGGGAUAACGUAGCGAAAGCUACGCUAAUACCGCAUACGAUCUAUGGACGAAAGCGGGGGAUCGCAAGACCUCGCGCGAUUGGAGCGGCCGAUAUCAGAUUAGGUAGUUGGUGAGGUAAAGGCUCACCAAGCCGACGAUCUGUAGCUGGUCUGAGAGGACGACCAGCCACACUGGGACUGAGACACGGCCCAGACUCCUACGGGAGGCAGCAGUGGGGAAUUUUGGACAAUGGGCGCAAGCCUGAUCCAGCAAUGCCGCGUGCAGGAUGAAGGCCUUCGGGUUGUAAACUGCUUUGUACGGAACGAAACGGUGAGCUCUAAUACAGUUUGCUAAUGACGGUACCGUAAGAAUAAGCACCGGCUAACUACGUG